ACUGUCACCACCGCAAGAUCCUGCACCGGGACCUGAAGCCCCAGAACCUGCUCAUCAACGAGAGGGGGGAGCUGAAGCUGGCCGAUUUUGGACUGGCCAGGGCCAAGUCAGUGCCCACAAAGACUUACUCCAAUGAGGUGGUGACCCUGUGGUACAGGCCCCCCGAUGUGCUGCUGGGAUCCACAGAGUACUCCACCCCCAUUGAUAUGUGUGGGGCACACAGUGGAGAGAGUUUGAGACAACACUGCUGAGAGAAUUGCCACAUGGGCGCUGGCUGCACAGACCCAAACCUCACAGAGUGAAAGGGGAGAGGUCGCAGCUUUCCCGAGCCCAGGGAAGCCCCCCAGAGAGGGGCUGUAGUGGGGGCUGGGCAGUUCUAGGAGCCUCCACUGCCCUGGGCCACCCCUCCGCCGCCAGAGCCACGACCCCUGCAGCCGCCUGUGGCAGGUCGUCAUUGGUGCCCUGGUGGAGCAGCCCUAGGAAGGGCGGCCGCCCCUGCCUGAUGCCGACCCUACCCCUUGCUCCCC
Molecule: small RNA, 527 nt
Filed under: Pan troglodytes (chimpanzee)
Lineage: Eukaryota; Metazoa; Chordata; Mammalia; Primates; Hominidae
Description: processed transcript
Source: RNAcentral